UACAGAGGGGGCAAGCGUUGUUCGGAAUUACUGGGCGUAAAGGGCGCGUAGGCGGCCUUCUAAGUCGAACGUGAAAUCCCCGGGCUCAACCCGGGAACUGCGUCCGAUACUGGAAGGCUUGAAUCCGGGAGAGGGAUGUGGAAUUCCAGGUGUAGCGGUGAAAUGCGUAGAUAUCUGGAGGAACACCGGUGGCGAAGGCGACAUCCUGGACCGGUACUGACGCUGAGGCGCGAAAGCUAGGGGAGCAAACGGG
Molecule: ribosomal RNA, 253 nt
Filed under: uncultured bacterium
Lineage: Bacteria
Description: partial 16S ribosomal RNA
Rfam family: Bacterial small subunit ribosomal RNA
Source: RNAcentral